AAGCUUAGUAAGUUGCAUAUAAAUAAGAAAAAAACAUCAACCAUGCAUAUUAUUAAUCAACACAACAUUCUUGAGUGAACAUGGGUAAAUAUCACUACAUGCUUAUAUAUAUCACUAGUAUAAACCAAAGAUUUCAAUAUCGUCCCAAGAUCAUUUUCAUAGCUAGAACUUACUCAUGUCAUUCUUACCAUCAAGGCAACGUAACUAGACUCCUAUCUCUUGAGUUCGAAUA
RNAcentral lists this long non-coding RNA (232 nucleotides) under Gossypium barbadense (sea-island cotton). RNAcentral's name for it is "long non-coding RNA (GBAR_LNC022927)". Lineage: Eukaryota; Viridiplantae; Streptophyta; Magnoliopsida; Malvales; Malvaceae. The record is from RNAcentral.